Molecule: transfer RNA, 71 nt
Filed under: Perkinsus olseni
Lineage: Eukaryota; Perkinsozoa; Perkinsida; Perkinsidae
Description: tRNA-Phe
Rfam family: tRNA (bases 1-61)
About the family: Transfer RNA (tRNA) molecules are approximately 80 nucleotides in length. Their secondary structure includes four short double-helical elements and three loops (D, anti-codon, and T loops).
Source: RNAcentral
GAUAGCUCAGUUGGGAGAGCGCCAGACUGAAGAUCUGGAGGUCCUUGCUGCGGUCGUAUCACAGACUAACG